AUUGAACGCUGGCGGCAGGCUUAACACAUGCAAGUCGAACGAGUGGCGGACGGGUGAGUAAUGUUUGGGAAUCUGGCCUAUGGAGGGGGAUAACUACGGGAAAGUGUCGCUAAUACCGCAUACCAUUGGAUGGGCCCAAGUGGGAUUAGGUAGUUGGUGGGGUAAAGGCUCACCAAGCCGACGAUCCGUAGCUGGUCUGAGAGGAGGACCAGCCACACUGGGACGGAGACACGGCCCAGACUCCUACGGGAGGCAGCAGUGGGGAAUAUUGCGCAAUGGGGGCAACCUGAUGCAGCCAUGCCGCGUGAAUGAAGAAGGCCUUCGGGUUGUAAAGUUCUUUCGGUAGCGAGGCGUUAACUACAGAAGAAGCACCGGCUAACUCCGUGCCAGCAGCCGCGGUAAUAC
Molecule: ribosomal RNA, 405 nt
Filed under: uncultured bacterium
Lineage: Bacteria
Description: partial 16S ribosomal RNA
Rfam family: Bacterial small subunit ribosomal RNA
Source: RNAcentral